RNAcentral lists this ribosomal RNA (514 nucleotides) under uncultured microorganism. Its description in RNAcentral is "bacterial SSU rRNA". It matches the Rfam family "Bacterial small subunit ribosomal RNA", at positions 9 to 518 of the family's 1533-position model. The record is from RNAcentral.
GAGUUUGAUCGUGGCUCAGAUUGAACGCUGGCGGCAGGCCUAACACAUGCAAGUCGAGCGGAUGAAGGGAGCUUGCUCCUGGAUUCAGCGGCGGACGGGUGAGUAAUGCCUAGGAAUCUGCCUGGUAGUGGGGGAUAACGCCCGGAAACGGGCGCUAAUACCGCAUACGUCCUGAGGGAGAAAGUGGGGGAUCUUCGGACCUCACGCUAUCAGAUGAGCCUAGGUCGGAUUAGCUAGUUGGUGGGGUAAAGGCCUACCAAGGCGACGAUCCGUAACUGGUCUGAGAGGAUGAUCAGUCACACUGGAACUGAGACACGGUCCAGACUCCUACGGGAGGCAGCAGUGGGGAAUAUUGGACAAUGGGCGAAAGCCUGAUCCAGCCAUGCCGCGUGUGUGAAGAAGGUCUUCGGAUUGUAAAGCACUUUAAGUUGGGAGGAAGGGCAGUAAGUUAAUACCUUGCUGUUUUGACGUUACCAACAGAAUAAGCACCGGCUAACUUCGUGCCAGCAGCCGC